Molecule: long non-coding RNA, 1080 nt
Organism: Nicotiana tabacum (common tobacco)
Lineage: Eukaryota; Viridiplantae; Streptophyta; Magnoliopsida; Solanales; Solanaceae
Source: RefSeq, a predicted model, not a curated record
GAAGUGCCGGCGUCAUUAAUUUCUGGGCAACUAUUAUAAAGCUGAACUCUCUAUCUUUUUGGAUUUUUAAGUUUUCGAGCAAAAACAAUACUAUAUUAGUAGUAGUUUAAUAUAUCAUAGCAAAAACAAUAUAUUAGAAUCUGGUAAAUGUUUCUUUUAGAUUUGCUGGGUUUCUUUGCCUAUAUAUCAAUAUCAUACAUGAAUUUUGGUGCUUUUUGUUUUUUAUUGAUCUCCGAAAGGCUGCUGCAAGUUCCAACAACUGCGUCUGAGAGUUAUGGCUUUCCGCGGACAAUUGGCUAAUGGUAGUACUGUUGCUAGUUCUUUUCUUGGACAAAUAAGAGGAUAGGAUACUACAAGAACCGUUCGGUUGAGCAAAUAAAAAGAAGGCAAAAAAGAAAAAACCUUCGGCCCCUAGUAUUAGACGUCACCAAUCUUCUUUUGUCUCGGACCAGUUGUAUCUUCAAUUGCGUAUGCUACGUGGUACGUACCUCAAACUUGGACCAAUUUACACAAAGCUUAAUAAUACUAGUAUAUAUAUACAUAAAAGUUAAUAUUUAACGUAUCUAUGUUGUCAAUUGACUCUCCUUACCGAUGAGUGGCUGCGCCACAACCUCAUAAUUUUAUUAUCUUCCCAUGCAUGUUACAUCAAAAGUGAUACUCAAACUUGGGUUGAUUUUAUUUCUUGACGGGGCUUUCAUGUUGUAUACGGCCGAAAUAGAUUUCGGCCUUCGUACGAUUGAUCAGGGUCGAAAUAUAAUGGAUCGAAGAAAGACUUCGUAAUAUCGAGAUGGGUCCCGAAGAUGAUACAAACAACCUUCGGAUCCCAGGUAUAGAUCAAACACCGAGUUCGAAGUCAUCAUCGAGCUCGGGUCCGGAUCGAACUAUAAUGAGAUGAUUUCGAGCUUAAAGGGCAGAGGCCAACCGAGGCCGAAUCCGAAUCAUCACCUGAUCCCGAGUCCGUAUCAAGCUCUAGAAGCACUAUCGACCGACACCGAGGCCGACCGAGCUCGAGCCCAUAGACAAGAGCCGUUGCAAACACACUAAGGGAGAGAAUCUCGGCGGGAAUAAGAGAAAAGCUGA